AGAGUUUGAUCCUGGCUCAGGAUGAACGCUGGCGGCGUGCCUAAUACAUGCAAGUCGAGCGAACGGACGAGAAGCUUGCUUCUCUGAUGUUAGCGGCGGACGGGUGAGUAACACGUGGAUAACCUACCUAUAAGACUGGGAUAACUUCGGGAAACCGGAGCUAAUACCGGAUAAUAUUUUGAACCGCAUGGUUCAAAAGUGAAAGACGGUCUUGCUGUCACUUAUAGAUGGAUCCGCGCUGCAUUAGCUAGUUGGUAAGGUAACGGCUUACCAAGGCAACGAUGCAUAGCCGACCUGAGAGGGUGAUCGGCCACACUGGAACUGAGACACGGUCCAGACUCCUACGGGAGGCAGCAGUAGGGAAUCUUCCGCAAUGGGCGAAAGCCUGACGGAGCAACGCCGCGUGAGUGAUGAAGGUCUUCGGAUCGUAAAACUCUGUUAUUAGGGAAGAACAUAUGUGUAAGUAACUGUGCACAUCUUGACGGUACCUAAUCAGAAAGCCACGGCUAACUACGUGCCAGCAGCCGCGGUAAUACGUAGGUGGCAAGCGUUAUCCGGAAUUAUUGGGCGUAAAGCGCGCGUAGGCGGUUUUUUAAGUCUGAUGUGAAAGCCCACGGCUCAACCGUGGAGGGUCAUUGGAAACUGGAAAACUUGAGUGCAGAAGAGGAAAGUGGAAUUCCAUGUGUAGCGGUGAAAUGCGCAGAGAUAUGGAGGAACACCAGUGGCGAAGGCGACUUUCUGGUCUGUAACUGACGCUGAUGUGCGAAAGCGUGGGGAUCAAACAGGAUUAGAUACCCUGGUAGUCCACGCCGUAAACGAUGAGUGCUAAGUGUUAGGGGGUUUCCGCCCCUUAGUGCUGCAGCUAACGCAUUAAGCACUCCGCCUGGGGAGUACGACCGCAAGGUUGAAACUCAAAGGAAUUGACGGGGACCC
RNAcentral lists this ribosomal RNA (933 nucleotides) under Staphylococcus aureus S56_POEL. RNAcentral describes it as "bacterial SSU rRNA". It matches the Rfam family "Bacterial small subunit ribosomal RNA", at positions 8 to 922 of the family's 1533-position model. The record is from RNAcentral. Lineage: Bacteria; Bacillati; Bacillota; Bacilli; Caryophanales; Staphylococcaceae.